This is a long non-coding RNA of Trachemys scripta elegans, 620 nucleotides long. RefSeq lists it as uncharacterized. Lineage: Eukaryota; Metazoa; Chordata; Testudines; Emydidae. The transcript is spliced from 3 exons. The record is from RefSeq and is a predicted model, not a curated record.
AUUAAGUUAAGAGAAAAGAUCCAGGAAUCAGCCUUCUAUCAGGGUACCAUUCUGAGCAACUUCAGGGUAGGUCGUGGAGGACGGACUGUUCACACCAGUUAUGACUGAAAUACCUACAUUGUAUGGAGAUAGGAGUGUGGCGUGGACAGGAUCAGCAUGACAAAGUGUCAAGUGGUGGAGUUCUAUACAGAGAUGGCACUGAAGAUGGCUUUGAUGAAUAAAUGUUUUCAGUCUUACACGUCAAGGCUAACUUCUCUGGGAUUAACCAAGAUUCUGUAAUAACAAUGGAACGGUUACCAUCAGGAAGGCUGAUUACUAUGUUUUUUUUUUUUUUUUAAUAAAAGCUGUGAAGGCAUAAAAUACUUGCUUCAUCUUCAUCUGCAUUCUUAAACAAGGCGCAGAGUGUGACAUGAAAGAUCACAAAACAUCCUAUUGUUUUUUUUUCCCAUUCUUGAUUAUUUAGAAGAACAAGAACUAUAAAUGAUUUUUGUAGGAUUAAUUUAGCAUCUUAUGCUAAAGUUUUGGUGUAUGGAAAGCUUAACCUAACAGAAACAAUUAAACUGUGUACAAACAAUCAAGGUCACUUGUACUUUCUGGCAUGGCAGACAAAUUAUGCAACA